Molecule: non-coding RNA, 746 nt
Organism: Pelobates cultripes (western spadefoot toad)
Lineage: Eukaryota; Metazoa; Chordata; Amphibia; Anura; Pelobatidae
Source: the annotation of a GenBank genome assembly
GUGCAGGCAGCUUUGGAAAGACCCUCCAGGGUAUUCCCCCAGCUAAUUGGGCCCAAUACUGGGCUUUACCAGAUGCACAGAACCAAUCUCUAUACAAUCAGGUAGGAAAAGGUCCAUUCAUAAUUACACUAAGUGUAAUUCUGAAAAAAGUCAGUAGAUGGUGGCAACAUACCACCAUCUCCUGUGUUAAAUAGUAAAACCCAAUCAAUGUGCAAUGUCAGUCUGCAGAUGCCAAGACCAAUAAGGUAUUGCCAAGCAUAUUGAUUUACAGGACAGAAAUAUAAUUUAAGCUCUUUAUAAGUCAAUGGUAAGAUCUCAGCUUGACUCCCACCAUUGGCAUCCAGCCCACACGAGACAUCGGCAAAGUCGGAAUUGGAGCAGAUAUAACUGACGAAUACUCGGAAUGUUGAGCACAUUGAAUAAGGUCUGCAUUCAAACGACUGUUUUUAAGCACGGUAUUAAAUAUCAAUAAUGUUCUAAUAAAAAGAACCAUUUUUAACCAUAUUUUUCAAUUUCCUUUUGUCUUACAUACAGAGAUCUACUGGAAUUUUUGGAAAUACACCAGAACUUUGGACUAAUUGAAUGACUUUGAAAGAUUGUUAAAAAAGUAACUUUUCACUUUGCAAGACUUACCAUUUUUUGCUAAAUUAUUAUUAAUAUUGCCAUUUUAAUAGAGCCAACAGAUUCCGUAGCACUUUGCAAUAUUAUAAGAGGGGGGAUUUAUCUAUAAAUAGGACAAUUACAAG